GUGAGGAAUAUUGCGCGAUGGAGGCAACUCUGACGCAGCCAUGCCGCGUGCAGGAAGAAGGCGCUACGCGUUGUAAACUGCUUUUAACCGGGAAGAAACCCCAGGACGUGUCCUGGGUUGACGGUACCGGAGGAAUAAGCACCGGCUAACUUCGUGCCAGCAGCCGCGGUAAUACGAAGGGUGCAAGCGUUAUCCGGAUUCAUUGGGUUUAAAGGGUGCGUAGGCGGAGCGUUAAGUCAGUGGUGAAAUCCUGCAGCUUAACUGUAGACUUGCCAUUGAUACUGGCGCUCUUGAGUGCGGUUGAAGUGGGCGGAAUGUGCCGUGUAGCGGUGAAAUGCUUAGAUAUGGCACAGAACACCAAUUGCGAAGGCAGCUCACUAAGGCGAUACUGACGCUGAGGCACGAAAGCGUGGGGAUCGAACAGGAUUAGAUACCCUAGUAGUCC
This 445-nucleotide ribosomal RNA is filed under the name uncultured bacterium. RNAcentral's name for it is "partial 16S ribosomal RNA". It matches the Rfam family "Bacterial small subunit ribosomal RNA", at positions 354 to 796 of the family's 1533-position model. The record is from RNAcentral.